RNAcentral lists this ribosomal RNA (253 nucleotides) under uncultured bacterium. RNAcentral's name for it is "partial 16S ribosomal RNA". It matches the Rfam family "Bacterial small subunit ribosomal RNA", at positions 524 to 776 of the family's 1533-position model. The record is from RNAcentral.
UACGUAGGUGGCAAGCGUUGUCCGGAUUUAUUGGGUUUAAAGGGUGCGUAGGCGGCCCUGUAAGUCAGUGCUGAAAUAUCCCAGCUUAACUGGGAGGGUGGCAUUGAUACUGCGGGGCUAGAGUACAGAUGAGGUAGGCGGAAUUGACGGUGUAGCGGUGAAAUGCUUAGAUAUCGUCAAGAACACCUAUAGCGAAGGCAGCUUACUAAGGAGUAACUGACGCUGAGGCACGAAAGUGUGGGGAUCAAACAGG